Molecule: long non-coding RNA, 904 nt
Organism: Lingula anatina
Lineage: Eukaryota; Metazoa; Brachiopoda; Lingulata; Lingulida; Lingulidae
Source: RefSeq, a predicted model, not a curated record
UUGUGUACAUUUGGCUCUGCCUUCAGCCAUUUUGACCUUGCUGUAACUGGUGUCCCCCCUGCAUUCUGCUAAGCAUUCGUGGGAAAGUGGUUCCAUCAACUAAAGAUGUUUUCAGUGCUAAGGCGCACGCUGCCACUAGCUGUGCGACAGAGUGUUCACACACAGAAAGCAAACUGGAAUGAUAUGGCAGGGCCCCCCAUGAGAACUGUGUCCAAAACUACGCUGUAUUUGUCAACUAUUUUCAUCAAUGUUUGUAUAUUUGGGCCACACUUCUACUAUAUGGUUUGGUUGGAGCAAAAGUAUGGAAAGACUUCAAAAUGGGCGAAGCUGCAGAAGUCAGCCAAGAACAUGGGAAACAAAAAAAAUAUGAAAAAAGAAUAAUAUUUUAAACUCUUAAGACUGCUUAUAUGAGUUACCAGACACACUGUGCUCAGGUGCAUCUAUUUAAAACCCAAUCACUAUAACUGAGAAUUUAACGAAAUGCGUUUUUUUUUUUUUUUUUUUUUUUUUUCCACUUAGAGGAUAAGGAUACAAUCAUUGAAGACACUUCCUUUUUACCAGUUUGGUUUUAAAAAGCACACAGUUUGUGGUCUACUGACUGAAUCAUGGAUAUGUAUGUUCAAGAACAAUGGAUACUCAAACACAAAGAGCAUAAGGCAUGAUGGCAAGUAGUUUCCAAAAAAGGAUCGAAAACCUGAAGACUUGAGUUUUGUGUUUGAUUAAUGUUUACUGUAUAUUAAUCAUGGAAAUCUAUUAAAUUUUGUUGUGAAAAAAUUAAAAAUGAAUUGAGAAUUGUUUCUUGUUUCUUGUUGUGGCUGGUCACAUGUAGUGUGUUACACAGUGUAUUUGUAAAACAAGGCAAGUGGUCAAAUGUACAGGCAAAAUAAAAGGUGCACAAAAUGUG